Molecule: transfer RNA, 65 nt
Filed under: Bullacta caurina
Lineage: Eukaryota; Metazoa; Mollusca; Gastropoda; Cephalaspidea; Haminoeidae
Description: tRNA-Tyr
Source: RNAcentral
AUUUUGAUGGCUGAAUUAGGCGAUAGAUUGUAAAUCUAUUUAUGGGGCCACCCCCUCUUGCUAUG